Molecule: non-coding RNA, 18 nt
Filed under: Mus musculus (house mouse)
Lineage: Eukaryota; Metazoa; Chordata; Mammalia; Rodentia; Muridae
Source: RNAcentral
CUAUCCAACCCAGAUGGG